Molecule: small RNA, 333 nt
Filed under: Solanum tuberosum (potato)
Lineage: Eukaryota; Viridiplantae; Streptophyta; Magnoliopsida; Solanales; Solanaceae
Description: Early nodulin 40
Rfam family: Early nodulin 40
Source: Rfam by way of RNAcentral
AUGCAGUGGGAUGAAGCAAUCCAUGGGUCUUAAGAAAAGAUAGGCAAGUUGGAGUGAAGGAGGACUUUUAAAUGCCCUCCUCUAUUAUGUUGCUCGGAUUUGUUCAAAAAUGUCGAUAGAUGCAUGUUGGAUUCUUCAAAAUCAAUGCGAUAUUGACAACAUUUUUGGAGAGUCUGAGCAACAUAACUGCUCCAUAUACAAUUUCAAGUUUGCUCAUACUUGAGCCAAAUUCUGUGUGGAUAUAUGAUGAUAAAAAUAGCAAAGGAUGUUGGCAAAAGGAUGGCAAACCGGCAAGUCACAAAACGGCAAUUAUGGACUCCGUUUUGGAGUCUU